GCAAUCGUGACCGAGUGGUUAAGGCGAUGCACUAGAAAUCCAUUGGGGUCUCACCGCGCAAGUUCGAAUCCUGUCGACUGCG
Molecule: non-coding RNA, 82 nt
Organism: Ixodes scapularis (black-legged tick)
Lineage: Eukaryota; Metazoa; Arthropoda; Arachnida; Ixodida; Ixodidae
Source: Rfam